RNAcentral lists this long non-coding RNA (352 nucleotides) under Arachis ipaensis. RNAcentral describes it as "long non-coding RNA (AIPA_LNC001812)". Lineage: Eukaryota; Viridiplantae; Streptophyta; Magnoliopsida; Fabales; Fabaceae. The record is from RNAcentral.
AUAUUUAAUAGCAGCAGUCAAAUAACAAUGGCAGGCUUAAUUAAAUCACUUCAUCAUCACCACAAGCAAAGUAUUAAUGCAUGCCAACAAGUAGAACCUGAUCCUCGAUAAUCUAAUUAGAGUUAAUUAGAGCAUAAAGAAUAAUUAAUAUUAUAUAUAUAGCAGUAGCCACUAGCCACUACUCUUCUACAAACUCUCUUGAAGAUAUGCAUGCCUGCUUAGUCAAAUAAUUAAUAACAUAUCUAUAUAUUUAUAUAUAUGUGCGAAUUGAAUCGCUUCUGAUAUAGUCAAAUCCAUUGUCCAUGCAUGUUUCUCGCUCCUUCCAGUGCCAUAUGCUGUUGCUGUUCAAAUU